RNAcentral lists this ribosomal RNA (327 nucleotides) under uncultured eukaryote. RNAcentral's name for it is "partial 18S ribosomal RNA". It matches the Rfam family "Eukaryotic small subunit ribosomal RNA", at positions 1470 to 1796 of the family's 1831-position model. The record is from RNAcentral.
CCCUUAGAUGUUCUGGGCCGCACGCGCGCUACACUGAUUCAUGCAACAAGUUUUGUCCUUGGCUGAUAGGCCUGGGUAAUCUUUGAACGUGAAUCGUGAUGGGGAUAGAUGAUUGCAAUUAUUCAUCUUCAACGAGGAAUUCCUAGUAAACGCAAGUCAUCAGCUUGCAUUGAUUACGUCCCUGCCCUUUGUACACACCGUCCGUCGCACCUACCGAUUGAAUGGUCCGGUGAAAUCUUCGGAUCUGAGAGAUGUCUGAUUAAUUUCGGACGCCUUUUGGAAAAGUUGUUUAAACCUUACCAUUUAGAGGAAGGUGAAGUCGUAACA